RNAcentral lists this ribosomal RNA (366 nucleotides) under Triticum aestivum (bread wheat). RNAcentral describes it as "partial small subunit ribosomal RNA". Lineage: Eukaryota; Viridiplantae; Streptophyta; Magnoliopsida; Poales; Poaceae. The record is from RNAcentral.
AUGAAAAUCAGUGGAUGGAAAGAAAAAUUGCUAUCUGCGGGUGGGAAGGAAAUUUUGCUCAAAUUUGUUGUACAAGCUAUCCCGGCUUAUGCCAUGUCCGUCUUUAAAAUUCCUAAAAAAACUUGUAAGGGAAUCAUUGACGCGAUGUCGCAAUUUUGGUGGGGUAACGAGGACAACCAGAAGAGAAUGCAUUGGAUGGCGUGGUGGAAGAUGUGCGUCCCAAAAGACCAAGGAGGUAUGGGGUUCCGAGAUAUCCACUGUUUUAAUCUGGCAUUGUUAGCCAAACAAGCAUGGCAUCUACUUGAUAAUCCUGAGUCUUUAUGUGCUACGAUCUUGAGAGCUAAAUAUUUUCCGGACGGCAAUUUA